This 433-nucleotide ribosomal RNA is filed under the name uncultured bacterium. Its description in RNAcentral is "partial 16S ribosomal RNA". It matches the Rfam family "Bacterial small subunit ribosomal RNA", at positions 29 to 507 of the family's 1533-position model. The record is from RNAcentral.
AACGAACGCUGGCGGCAUGCCUAACACAUGCAAGUCGAACGAGACCUUCGGGUCUAGUGGCGCACGGGUGCGUAACGCGUGGGAACCUGCCCUUAGGUUCGGAAUAACUCCCCGAAAGGGGUGCUAAUACCGGAUAAUGUCUUCGGACCAAAGAUUUAUCGCCUUUGGACGGGCCCGCGUUGGAUUAGCUAGUUGGUAGGGUAAAAGCCUACCAAGGCGACGAUCCAUAGCUGGUCUGAGAGGAUGAUCAGCCACACUGGGACUGAGACACGGCCCAGACUCCUACGGGAGGCAGCAGUGGGGAAUAUUGGACAAUGGGCGAAAGCCUGAUCCAGCAAUGCCGCGUGAGUGAUGAAGGCCUUAGGGUUGUAAAGCUCUUUUACCCGGGACGAUAAUGACAGUACCGGGAGAAUAAGCUCCGGCUAACUCCGUG